CCUACGGGUGGCUGCAGUGAGGAAGAGGGGGCAAGGGACGAGAGUCUGAACCAGCCAAGGAGCGUGAAGGAUGACUGCCCUAUGGGUUGUAAACUUCUUUUAUAUGGGAAUAAAAUGUUCCACGUGUGGGAUUUUGUAUGUACCAUAUGAAUAAGGAUCGGCUAACUCCGUGCCAGCAGCCGCGGUAAUACGGAGGAUCCGAGCGUUAUCCGGAUUUAUUGGGUUUAAAGGGAGCGUAGGUGGGUUGUUAAGUCAGUUGUGAAAGUUUGCGGCUCAACCGUAAAAUUGCAGUUGAAACUGGCAGUCUUGAGUACAGUAGAGGUGGGCGGAAUUCGUGGUGUAGCGGUGAAAUGCUUAGAUAUCACGAAGAACUCCGAUUGCGAAGGCAGUUCACUGGACUGCAACUGACACUGAGGCUCGAAAGUGUGGGUAUCAAACAGGAUUAGAUACCCCAGUAGUC
This 460-nucleotide ribosomal RNA is filed under the name uncultured bacterium. Its description in RNAcentral is "partial 16S ribosomal RNA". It matches the Rfam family "Bacterial small subunit ribosomal RNA", at positions 338 to 795 of the family's 1533-position model. The record is from RNAcentral.